Molecule: small nuclear RNA, 103 nt
Organism: Phoenix dactylifera (date palm)
Lineage: Eukaryota; Viridiplantae; Streptophyta; Magnoliopsida; Arecales; Arecaceae
Source: RefSeq, a predicted model, not a curated record
GUCUUUUCAGAGACAUCCGAUAAAAUUAGAACCAUAUAAAGGAGAUUAGCAUGGCUCCUGCACAAGGACGAUACGCAUAAAUCAAAAAAUGGUCUAAAUUUUU